This 404-nucleotide ribosomal RNA is filed under the name Actinomycetes bacterium. RNAcentral's name for it is "Actinobacteria bacterium partial 16S ribosomal RNA". It matches the Rfam family "Bacterial small subunit ribosomal RNA", at positions 355 to 776 of the family's 1533-position model. The record is from RNAcentral. Lineage: Bacteria; Bacillati; Actinomycetota; Actinomycetes.
UGGGGAAUAUUGGACGAUGGGCGCAAGCCUGAUCCAGCCAUGCCGCGUGAGUGAUGAAGGCCCUAGGGUUGUAAAGCUCUUUCACCGGUGAAGAUAAUGACGGUAACCGGAGAAGAAGCCCCGGCUAACUUCGUGCCAGCAGCCGCGGUAAUACGAAGGGGGCUAGCGUUGUUCGGAUUUACUGGGCGUAAAGCGCACGUAGGCGGACUAUUAAGUCAGGGGUGAAAUCCCGGGGCUCAACCCCGGAACUGCCUUUGAUACUGGUAGUCUUGAGUUCGAGAGAGGUGAGUGGAAUUCCGAGUGUAGAGGUGAAAUUCGUAGAUAUUCGGAGGAACACCAGUGGCGAAGGCGGCUCACUGGCUCGAUACUGACGCUGAGGUGCGAACGCGUGGGGAGCAAACAGG